Molecule: ribosomal RNA, 371 nt
Filed under: Ciboneya antraia
Lineage: Eukaryota; Metazoa; Arthropoda; Arachnida; Araneae; Pholcidae
Description: partial 12S ribosomal RNA
Source: RNAcentral
UUUGUAAUAAUAGUAGUAWCACAAAGUAAAACUAAUGAAAUUUGGCAGUUGUAAUAAAUUAAAGAAGCUUGUUUUAUAACCGACAACGCCCGAUAACUUUCACUUAAUAAAUAUAGCUCUUAUWAUACCGCCGUAAAAAGAUUUACCUUAAAUAAAACUCUCAAAAAGAUAUAUAAAAAAUCAGGUCARGGUGUAACAAACAAUUAAGAAAAAAUUAGCUACUCAUAAAAAAAAUUUAUGAAAUAUAAUAUAAAAAUAUUAUAAGAAAUAGAAUUCAAAAACAAAUCCAAGAAUUAAAAUAAUUGAUUGAAAUUUUAAUUUACAAUGUACACAUCSCCGNNGGNUUUUUNAAANAUGNACACAUNGCCCGU